UUUGCUUCUGGGAAGGAGCCCCAGCCAGGGGAGACAGUCAUCUAUGUGGCUGGUGCCUUCGACCUGUUCCACAUCGGGCACGUGGACUUCCUGGAGAAGGUGCAUAGGCUGGCGGAGAGGCCCUACAUCAUCGCGGGCUUACACUUUGACCAGGUCACUGCCCUCUUGCUCCCUGGGCCCCUGGGCAGCUGAUGGACCCUCGAGGGGCCCUAAGGGUUGGUGUUAGGUGCAGUGGUCUCUGGGAAGAGGCCCCAGGUGAAGUCAGAGGAGACCCCGGGGGGUGAUCGUAGGCUUCUGGGGUCCAGGGCUGUCCUGUCUGGGGCAUCCCCACAAAGGCGGGCAACCUCCCCGACUUCUUCCCAUGAGGGACAGCUGGGAGGCGCACACCCUGUCCCCCCAAAGUCUCCGGGCUGAGCUAGCCUCACUCUGGCCGCAGGAGGUCAAUCACUACAAGGGGAAGAACUACCCCAUCAUGAAUCUGCAUGAGCGGACCCUGAGCGUGCUGGCCUGCCGGUACGUGUCAGAAGUGGUGAUUGGGGCCCCGUACGCGGUCACAGCAGAGCUCCUGA
Molecule: small RNA, 569 nt
Filed under: Pongo abelii (Sumatran orangutan)
Lineage: Eukaryota; Metazoa; Chordata; Mammalia; Primates; Hominidae
Description: retained intron
Source: RNAcentral